RNAcentral lists this ribosomal RNA (253 nucleotides) under uncultured bacterium. RNAcentral's name for it is "partial 16S ribosomal RNA". It matches the Rfam family "Bacterial small subunit ribosomal RNA", at positions 524 to 776 of the family's 1533-position model. The record is from RNAcentral.
UACGUAGGGUGCGAGCGUUGUCCGGAUUUAUUGGGCGUAAAGAGCUCGUAGGCGGUUUGUCGCGUCGGCCGUGAAAUCUCCACGCUUAACGUGGAGCGUGCGGUCGAUACGGGCGGACUUGAGUUCGGUAGGGGAGACUGGAAUUCCUGGUGUAGCGGUGAAAUGCGCAGAUAUCAGGAGGAACACCGGUGGCGAAGGCGGGGCUCUGGGCCGAUACUGACGCUGAGGAGCGAAAGCGUGGGGAGCGAACAGG